Cryptomeria japonica (Japanese cedar) is the source of this 304-nucleotide long non-coding RNA. RefSeq lists it as uncharacterized. The transcript has 2 exons. The record is from RefSeq and is a predicted model, not a curated record. NCBI's taxonomy places the organism in Eukaryota, Viridiplantae, Streptophyta, Pinopsida, Cupressales, Cupressaceae.
UGGGAAAGCAUCAGGGAUUUAGGGUUUUUAUUGCCGUAGGGUUUCAGAAUGUAUAUUUAGUUGGACAUAAGUAAGUAAAAUUAAGUCGUUCCUGAAGUUGUGUUUCGCCCAUCGGGUUCUUCUAAACGGUUUUGGAAUGCAAUUUGAUUUAGUACAUUGAAGUCGAGAUAUCGUUUCGGUUGCCCCGCGUAAGCAUGGGCGAUUCGAUUGUUGCUUGACAACAUGGAAACCUAUCUUACAGGUUUUUGCCCUGUGUUUGUUUUUGGGAUUUUAAUAAAUGGUGAGGGAUUUUUGUUUGUUUCGA